UCCCAGGUGGCUCAGUGGUAAAGAACCUGCCUCCCAACGCAGGAGACACAGGUUCGAUCCCUGGGUUGGGAA
This 72-nucleotide transfer RNA is filed under the name Bos taurus (domestic cattle). It matches the Rfam family "tRNA". From Rfam's summary of the family: Transfer RNA (tRNA) molecules are approximately 80 nucleotides in length. Their secondary structure includes four short double-helical elements and three loops (D, anti-codon, and T loops). Further hydrogen bonds mediate the characteristic L-shaped molecular structure. tRNAs have two regions of fundamental functional importance: the anti-codon, which is responsible for specific mRNA codon recognition, and the 3' end, to which the tRNAs corresponding amino acid is attached (by aminoacyl-tRNA synthetases). tRNAs cope with the degeneracy of the genetic code in two manners: having more than one tRNA (with a specific anti-codon) for a particular amino acid; and 'wobble' base-pairing, i.e. permitting non-standard base-pairing at the 3rd anti-codon position. RNAcentral also lists the same sequence under 4 other names. The record is from Rfam by way of RNAcentral. Lineage: Eukaryota; Metazoa; Chordata; Mammalia; Artiodactyla; Bovidae.